UACGGAGGGUGCAACCGUUGCUCGGAAUCAUUGGGCGUAAAGCGCACGUAGGCGGCUCGUUAAGUCGGAUGUGAAAGCCCUGGGCUCAACCCAGGAAGUGCAUACGAAACUGGCGAGCUUGAGUAUGGAAGAGGGUCGCGGAAUUCCCGGUGUAGAGGUGAAAUUCGUAGAUAUCGGGAGGAACACCAGUGGCGAAGGCGGCGACCUGGGCCAAUACUGACGCUGAGGUGCGAAAGCGUGGGGAGCAAACAGG
This 253-nucleotide ribosomal RNA is filed under the name uncultured bacterium. Its description in RNAcentral is "partial 16S ribosomal RNA". It matches the Rfam family "Bacterial small subunit ribosomal RNA", at positions 524 to 776 of the family's 1533-position model. The record is from RNAcentral.